CAAACUAAAGAUGGCGACCGGCGCACGGGUGAGUAACACUAUCCAACCUGCCGAUAACUCGGGGAUAGCCUUUCGAAAGAAAGAUUAAUAUCCAUAGUAUAUUAAAACCGCAUGGUUUUACUAUUAAAGAAUUUCGGUUAUCGAUGGGGAUGCGUUCCAUUAGUUUGUUGGCGGGGUAACGGCCCACCAAGACUACGAUGGAUAGGGGUUCUGAGAGGAAGGUCCCCCACAUUGGAACUGAGACACGGUCCAA
This 253-nucleotide ribosomal RNA is filed under the name uncultured bacterium. RNAcentral describes it as "partial 16S ribosomal RNA". It matches the Rfam family "Bacterial small subunit ribosomal RNA", at positions 74 to 334 of the family's 1533-position model. The record is from RNAcentral.